RNAcentral lists this ribosomal RNA (135 nucleotides) under Entomoneis paludosa. RNAcentral's name for it is "Amphiprora paludosa partial Eukaryotic large subunit ribosomal RNA". The record is from RNAcentral. Lineage: Eukaryota; Bacillariophyta; Bacillariophyceae; Surirellales; Surirellaceae.
AGUCUUCUUGCGUAUAUAUCGGUUGGGAUUGAGGACCGCAGCACGCCUUUAAUGGCCGGGGGUUCGCCCUACGUAUCGUGCUUAGGAUGUUGGCAUAAUGGCUUUAAGCGACCCGUCUUGUAACACGGACCAAGG